UACGGAGGGGGCUAGCGUUGUUCGGAAUUACUGGGCGUAAAGCACACGUAGGCGGAUCAGUCAGUCAGGGGUGAAAUCCCGGGGCUCAACCCCGGAACUGCCUUUGAUACUGCUGGUCUGGAGGAUGGGAGAGGCGAGUGGAAUUCCGAGUGUAGAGGUGAAAUUCGUAGAUAUUCGGAGGAACACCAGUGGCGAAGGCGGCUCGCUGGCCCAUUUCUGACGCUGAGGUGCGAAAGCGUGGGGAGCAAACAGG
This 253-nucleotide ribosomal RNA is filed under the name uncultured bacterium. RNAcentral describes it as "partial 16S ribosomal RNA". It matches the Rfam family "Bacterial small subunit ribosomal RNA", at positions 524 to 776 of the family's 1533-position model. The record is from RNAcentral.